Molecule: transfer RNA, 71 nt
Filed under: Stegodyphus mimosarum
Lineage: Eukaryota; Metazoa; Arthropoda; Arachnida; Araneae; Eresidae
Rfam family: tRNA
About the family: Transfer RNA (tRNA) molecules are approximately 80 nucleotides in length. Their secondary structure includes four short double-helical elements and three loops (D, anti-codon, and T loops). Further hydrogen bonds mediate the characteristic L-shaped molecular structure. tRNAs have two regions of fundamental functional importance: the anti-codon, which is responsible for specific mRNA codon recognition, and the 3' end, to which the tRNAs corresponding amino acid is attached (by aminoacyl-tRNA synthetases). tRNAs cope with the degeneracy of the genetic code in two manners: having more than one tRNA (with a specific anti-codon) for a particular amino acid; and 'wobble' base-pairing, i.e. permitting non-standard base-pairing at the 3rd anti-codon position.
Source: Rfam by way of RNAcentral
UUCUUCGUAGUGUAACACUAGCACACUCGGCCCGUAAUCGAGAGAUCCAGGUUCGAGUCCUCGCGAGGAGA